GUAUAAUAUUAAUUUACUCAAUAUACAGGGUCUCCCAGGAAUAAGUGCAGACAUUUUUAUGAACUUCAUUAUUACACUAUAGUUUUGUGUUUUUGCCAGUGACCAUAGAGUUGUAGUGGUUUUUCUAAUGUUCUUAAUGAAACCCCUUUAAUCCACCCUAAAACUGUUGAAUUGUUUGUAAUACUCUCCCAUUCAGUAAUAAAAAACCGUAAAUUACCAGCAUACAUACUCUUAUUUACCUCUAUUGAUGAUACUGUCUGCGCGUUUGAGCCUUGUGCCCCUUCCCUGAAGACGAUGUUCCUCUGUGGCUCUGACCUUGGCGGUUUGCCCCAUAAGUUGGGCGGUAGUGGGUCAGAGCAGGGCGUUUGAAGUUUCCAGAAAAACUUGGUUUCCGGGUUACUUCAUGUUUCGGCUUCGAAAUGACUACUCGUUUCGCCAGUUUCAAUUCGGUCAUGGUUUUCUUUAUUUCAUUUGAUGAUUUCAUAUUACUGCUGAAAUUAUUUCCGAACAACAUUUCCUCAAUUGGAGAUUGUUCAACAACUUUUUUUUGUGGCAUGGUUGAGGUGAGGGCUGAUUAAAUAUCUUCUAUGAGUGGAUAAUGAAUGAUGCACAUCCACAAUCAAUCUUGAGCAAUCUAUUAGACUCUUAAGCCAAGGGUUUGUUUUAUCCGAUGGCUCGGUAUACAUCUGUUCCAUUGGAACUGCUAUAGCACUGAUAGCAUUUCCCAACUGCGUCUGUACCUUUGCCAGGAAAAGGUCUUGACGUCUGCUUCCUUCCUUUAGACAAGCUGUUACCUCCUCAUUCGUUGUGGGGCCGUUUAGUGCUUGCAGUUUUUUUAUUAUGGGGUAUGUUCUGAUAAGUUCACUACUUUCCUCUUUAGUUAUUCCAUUCUUGGUAAUGGCAUUCCAUGUAGAUGUGAUUUCAUUUCUAAUUUCUGGGACUUCAAGAGGAGUGACAUUUGGAUUGACUCCCAAAAUGUCGGCAGAAAGAGGCUCUGCACAGGGUUGUCAACAUGGUCACUCAUUCGUUAUUGUUGAGAAAAAUUUAACUUCCAAAGAAAAACUUCUUUGUCUCAACAAAGUAAUCUUAUAUUUGUGGCUAGCUGGACAAAGGUCUCUUUGUUAUUCGGCCGGCCACGGCGUUUGUUUAUAUUAGAUAAACGCUGAAACGCGCUCCCGACGCAAUGAGAAAAAAAAUUGUAAAAGCCAAUCUGAGGCCUUAUGUCGAUCUAUUAAUUAGUUUUGCGGCGAAGACAAAUUUUAAUUUUUUAAGUUAUGUUAUUAAUUUUUAAAUUAAUUGUUUACAUGCAAUAAGUAAUAUGCAUUUAUGAUAUAUGAAUCUACACUCAAAUUUCCUCUUAUUUGGUACUUACUUGAAUCUGACGAUGACGACACCAUUUCUAGCAAUUUUUGUUAUUUAUUAAACUUUUUCACUAAUUUCUCUUUGGCUGUGUUUUUUGAUUUGGUUUUGCGCUGUUUCUUAUAUCUUCCCAUCUUAAAACACGUAAUAACUCACAAAUUAAUAACUCACAAUAAAUUAAACGUCACACCACACUGCAAAUAAAAACAGAAUGAUCUGGCUGACACGGCGGAGGAUAUAGGGGCGGCGUUGCUUUCUUUAAACGUUUGCACGAACACUCCAAGCAGACAGUUCCUACAACGUGAAAAAUUGUAAUAAUGAGGAUACUAAUUUGUAAUAAACUACUUUCAGAGCCUCCCAAAGUGGAGAAGGUCAAGUACUGGCAGCUGGAUAAUCAAAGUCCGAUUGGAUCCGCAAAUAUAUGAAGAUAUAGAUGUUUAAAUAAAGAAGAAUAUAUUAGUGAUUAUUGCCAAGAAGGUGAUUACUAGUAGUUCUAGCAGUAACGAGGUUUCCAAAAGGACUGGUAAGGCUGGGAGUCAAAAAAAUGGGAGUGUUCACUUCCAGAGGGAUUAGCUAAUGCCAUUAGAAGACUCGAUAGGGUUUGGCAAAUUGGUGUCUAGUUAGUUACCAUAAUAGAAUAGAAAGGUACCUAUGCUCACCUUUGGUAGCAGUUCUUUACCAGCCAUCCGCAGUUCGCAGUCUCUGGAAUACCAGAGGGGCUACAGUUUGAUUUAUUUUAUUUUAUUAUACAUUUAUAUUUUAUAUAAUAAACUAUUUCAUAU
This 2141-nucleotide long non-coding RNA is filed under the name Sitophilus oryzae (rice weevil). RNAcentral's name for it is "uncharacterized LOC115883789". The record is from RNAcentral. Lineage: Eukaryota; Metazoa; Arthropoda; Insecta; Coleoptera; Curculionidae.